CUCUUAAACCCUUUCUGCUUAUUCAGAAUAAAGGUCACAAGUGUCAGAAAAUACUUCUCUGGGUUUGUGGCACAUAAUAAGAAAUAUCCAAACUCAGGUAAGGGAAGAAUAGCGUAGUGGUGAAAAUAGAUAACGAAGAAAAAAAAUUCACUGUGGAAUUGUUUUUCAGAUUCUAAAACUGCAUCCUUCCCAGAGUGGGUAGUCAACUCCUCAUGAUGAAUUAGUUAUAUGUUCCUAUAUGUACCUACUUCCAGGUAAGUGUUGCCCAUUCCCUCUGUGGGGUUGUAUGAAAGACUGCUCAGACAAAUAAUCCUUAAAAUAGCAAGCAGAGUGAGAUCAUUGAACA
This 346-nucleotide long non-coding RNA is filed under the name Rattus norvegicus (Norway rat). RNAcentral describes it as "long non-coding RNA NONRATT010637". Lineage: Eukaryota; Metazoa; Chordata; Mammalia; Rodentia; Muridae. The record is from RNAcentral.